CUUGGUCAAAAAGGUGAUGGUUUAUGAUCGUGCAACUAAUAAAUCCUUUACAUCCCGAGAUGUUGUGUUUCCUGAGCAUAUCUUUCCGUUUCAUAAUAAUCCACCAGAAGAACAAGAAGAUGAGGUUGUCUUCCCCUUACCACACACUUUAUAACCGGCAACGAUGAUGGUGAAAUUAUUGUUCUUAAGAAAUUUCUCCAUACCAAAUUUUACAUCAAGGACCUUGGCCAAUUGCAAUAUUUUCUUGGUGUUGAAUUUGCUUGUUCUACUAGUGGCAUUUGCAUUUCACAACGAAAGUACACACUUGACAUUUUAGAUGAAGCAUGAUUGCUUGGGACCAAACCGUUAUCGGCGCCUAUGGAAGAAAACCUUAAGCUUCUACCAACAGUGGGAAAACUAUUGAAAAAUCCAUCCACUUAUAGAAGAUUGGUGGGUCGACUUAUUUAUCUUACUAUUACAAAGCUAGAGAUAACUUAUUCAUUUCACAUUCUAAGCCAGUUUAUGCAAGAGCCAAGAAAAGCUCAUUUAGAUGUUGUUCAUCACCUUUUGAGAUACCUUAAAGUUGCACCUGGGCAAGGAUUGUACUUUCCAGCCAAAGGAAAUUUGCUACUAAAGGGAUUUAGUAAUGCAGAUUGGGCACGAUGUUCAAUCACAAGACGGUCUAUUACUGGUUAUCUCAGAAGAAAGAUUAUUUCAUGGAAGACUAAGAAACAAAUGACAGUAUUAAGAUCUUCAGCUGAGUCAGAAUAUCGAGCUAUGGCCUCGAUUACAUGUGAGAUAAGAUGGUUCAAUUACUUAUUGGAUGACUUGUAGGUGAAGCAUUCACAACCAAUCAAAUUGUUUUGCAAUAGUAAAGUAGCACUCCACAUUGUCGCAGAUCUAAUUUAUCAAGAGCGUACCUAGUACAUGAGAUCGAUUACCAUGUUGUUCAGGGACAAAUUCAGUCAUGAGCUAUAUUAACUGCAUAUGUUCCAUCAGCUUGUUGACUUGUUCACCAAGCUACUCAAUUAAUCAGUUUUUCAUUUUCUUCUCAGAAAGUUUGGCUUCCUUAACAUACACGCUCCAACUUGAGGGAGAGUAUUACAGGAAAGAUGAGACCUAUUAAUUAUAAGAUUGUAUACACGUCUUCGUUUUUUGAUUGAUUGUAAUUUACAAGUUUCCUAGAAUAGGAUAGCUGAUGUACUAUGUGUGUG
This 1193-nucleotide long non-coding RNA is filed under the name Olea europaea subsp. europaea. Lineage: Eukaryota; Viridiplantae; Streptophyta; Magnoliopsida; Lamiales; Oleaceae. The record is from RNAcentral.